Molecule: ribosomal RNA, 492 nt
Filed under: uncultured bacterium
Lineage: Bacteria
Description: partial 16S ribosomal RNA
Rfam family: Bacterial small subunit ribosomal RNA
Source: RNAcentral
AGUGAACGCUGGCGGUAGGCCUAACACAUGCAAGUCGAACGGCAGCACAGUAAGAGCUUGCUCUUACGGGUGGCGAGUGGCGGACGGGUGAGGAAUACAUCGGAAUCUACUUUUUCGUGGGGGAUAACGUAGGGAAACUUACGCUAAUACCGCAUACGACCUACGGGUGAAAGCAGGGGAUCUUCGGACCUUGCGCGGUUGAAUGAGCCGAUUUGGGAUUAGCUAGUUGGGGGGGUAAUGGCCCACCAAGGCGAGGAUCCGUAGCUGGUGUGAGAGGAGGGUCAGCCACACUGGAACUGAGCCACGGUCCGGGCUCCUACGGGAGGCAGCAGUGGGGAAUAUUGGACAAUGGGCGCAAGCCUGAUCCAGCCAUACCGCGUGGGUGAAGAAGGCCUUCGGGUUGUAAAGCCCUUUUGUUGGGAAAGAAAAGCAGCAGGUUAAUACCACGCUGUUCUGACGGUACCCAAAGAAUAAGCACCGGCUAACUUCGUG